UGUUCAGGUUGGCAGUCCUCAUGCACAGGUACCACAGGGACGUGUUUUUGCACUGGCACAGACCGAUGCAUCUUCUGGACCGUCAGUUCUUCGAGGUCUUGGAAAAGAAUCGGUGGACGACAACCCACCUCAAGCCUGAGCGAUACUAGAAGCUCACUUUUGUGUCUUUUGUAUAUCUCCCAUUAUUUUUGCAAAGCACUAAAAGUGUGAAGGUGUAUAUGUAUAUUUUGCAAAACUUUGUCAUGUAAUGUAAUUAAGGUAUUUGAUGAUAUUUUGGAUGUGAAUUUGAUAACAUGUAAACCUUAUUGAUGAAUGGGGAGAGUAAUACUAGUUUGAAGUAUUAUUGAGGUCA
Cornus florida is the source of this 352-nucleotide long non-coding RNA. RefSeq lists it as uncharacterized. The transcript is spliced from 2 exons. Lineage: Eukaryota; Viridiplantae; Streptophyta; Magnoliopsida; Cornales; Cornaceae. The record is from RefSeq and is a predicted model, not a curated record.